This 768-nucleotide ribosomal RNA is filed under the name Triticum aestivum (bread wheat). RNAcentral describes it as "partial small subunit ribosomal RNA". The record is from RNAcentral. Lineage: Eukaryota; Viridiplantae; Streptophyta; Magnoliopsida; Poales; Poaceae.
AUGAGGACGCAAGUUGAUCUUAUGAUAGAAGGAAUCCCUUCCCACGCUUGGACGUCCGAGACGGCGGCGGAGCUUCUGGGCUCGUCAUGUUUGGUGGAGAGCUUGGCGCCGGAGACUGAGAACAGGGAGGACUUGUCCUUGUUCAAGUUGAGGGCCUGGUGUGUGGAUCCGGACGAGGUGCCUGCAGAUAGGCAACUUUGGGUUACGGAGCCGGUGAUGGUUGGAGGGCCGGCGGCGAGGUCGCCCACAUCUCGAGCGCUGCUGGAGUACAAGACCCUGAUUCACAUCGGUAGGGUCCGUGAUCACGAAGGCCCGGAGCGCUGGUUGAGACUGCCUAGCUCAGAUGGUAGCGGCCAGAGCGGGUUGCUUGAGGACUCUGGUGACUUCUCUGGCAGGGGAGAGUGGCGAGUGCUGCCAUGGUCGAGAGGAGUUCGCGAUCGGCGUGGAGGUGCGCCGGGCAACGGGGCGCAUGGUGGUUCCUAUAUGCGUGCCUUGAUGGGGCGUAUUGGACCAUCGGACUGGAGAAUUCCGCCCAUGGCUCAGAGCUCAGCGGCGAAGAUUCACGCGCCAGUGGUCACCGCGGUGGCAACCGGGGUUGGAGGGGGCAGGCUGUUGGCUGCCGAGGCCGCGUUGGUGGAGCCUGUGGCCGUAGAUGAUCCAGGGAGGAAGGCUAGAGCCACAGAAAAUCCGGCCGCUGAGGUGAUGGACAGGACUGCGCACGCGCCAGGAAGUAAAUCUUUCGGCCAAGGAGAUCGCCGCGCUGGGUAA